CAGUCGCCACGGUAAUACGUAGGUGGCAAGCGUUGUCCGGAAUUAUUGGGCGUAAAGGGCUCGCAGGCGGUUUCCUAAGUCUGAUGUGAAAGCCCCCGGCUCAACCGGGGAGGGUCAUUGGAAACUGGGAAACUUGAGUGCAGAAGAGGAGAGUGGAAUUCCACGUGUAGCGGUGAAAUGCGUAGAGAUGUGGAGGAACACCAGUGGCGAAGGCGACUCUCUGGUCUGUAACUGACGCUGAGGAGCGAAAGCGUGGGGAGCGAACAGGAUUAGAUACCCGAGUAGUCCCUGUCUCUUAUAC
Molecule: ribosomal RNA, 301 nt
Filed under: uncultured bacterium
Lineage: Bacteria
Description: partial 16S ribosomal RNA
Rfam family: Bacterial small subunit ribosomal RNA
Source: RNAcentral